This 1508-nucleotide ribosomal RNA is filed under the name Phocaeicola vulgatus. RNAcentral describes it as "bacterial SSU rRNA". It matches the Rfam family "Bacterial small subunit ribosomal RNA". RNAcentral also lists the same sequence under 4 other names. The record is from RNAcentral. Lineage: Bacteria; Pseudomonadati; Bacteroidota; Bacteroidia; Bacteroidales; Bacteroidaceae.
AGAGUUUGAUCCUGGCUCAGGAUGAACGCUAGCUACAGGCUUAACACAUGCAAGUCGAGGGGCAGCAUGGUCUUAGCUUGCUAAGGCCGAUGGCGACCGGCGCACGGGUGAGUAACACGUAUCCAACCUGCCGUCUACUCUUGGACAGCCUUCUGAAAGGAAGAUUAAUACAAGAUGGCAUCAUGAGUCCGCAUGUUCACAUGAUUAAAGGUAUUCCGGUAGACGAUGGGGAUGCGUUCCAUUAGAUAGUAGGCGGGGUAACGGCCCACCUAGUCUUCGAUGGAUAGGGGUUCUGAGAGGAAGGUCCCCCACAUUGGAACUGAGACACGGUCCAAACUCCUACGGGAGGCAGCAGUGAGGAAUAUUGGUCAAUGGGCGAGAGCCUGAACCAGCCAAGUAGCGUGAAGGAUGACUGCCCUAUGGGUUGUAAACUUCUUUUAUAAAGGAAUAAAGUCGGGUAUGGAUACCCGUUUGCAUGUACUUUAUGAAUAAGGAUCGGCUAACUCCGUGCCAGCAGCCGCGGUAAUACGGAGGAUCCGAGCGUUAUCCGGAUUUAUUGGGUUUAAAGGGAGCGUAGAUGGAUGUUUAAGUCAGUUGUGAAAGUUUGCGGCUCAACCGUAAAAUUGCAGUUGAUACUGGAUAUCUUGAGUGCAGUUGAGGCAGGCGGAAUUCGUGGUGUAGCGGUGAAAUGCUUAGAUAUCACGAAGAACUCCGAUUGCGAAGGCAGCCUGCUAAGCUGCAACUGACAUUGAGGCUCGAAAGUGUGGGUAUCAAACAGGAUUAGAUACCCUGGUAGUCCACACGGUAAACGAUGAAUACUCGCUGUUUGCGAUAUACUGCAAGCGGCCAAGCGAAAGCGUUAAGUAUUCCACCUGGGGAGUACGCCGGCAACGGUGAAACUCAAAGGAAUUGACGGGGGCCCGCACAAGCGGAGGAACAUGUGGUUUAAUUCGAUGAUACGCGAGGAACCUUACCCGGGCUUAAAUUGCAGAUGAAUUACGGUGAAAGCCGUAAGCCGCAAGGCAUCUGUGAAGGUGCUGCAUGGUUGUCGUCAGCUCGUGCCGUGAGGUGUCGGCUUAAGUGCCAUAACGAGCGCAACCCUUGUUGUCAGUUACUAACAGGUUCCGCUGAGGACUCUGACAAGACUGCCAUCGUAAGAUGUGAGGAAGGUGGGGAUGACGUCAAAUCAGCACGGCCCUUACGUCCGGGGCUACACACGUGUUACAAUGGGGGGUACAGAGGGCCGCUACCACGCGAGUGGAUGCCAAUCCCCAAAACCUCUCUCAGUUCGGACUGGAGUCUGCAACCCGACUCCACGAAGCUGGAUUCGCUAGUAAUCGCGCAUCAGCCACGGCGCGGUGAAUACGUUCCCGGGCCUUGUACACACCGCCCGUCAAGCCAUGGGAGCCGGGGGUACCUGAAGUGCGUAACCGCGAGGAGCGCCCUAGGGUAAAACUGGUGACUGGGGCUAAGUCGUAACAAGGUAGCCGUACCGGAAGGUGCGGCUG